ACAUACUAGGAUCGGCCCGCCCUACGGGCGGGAAGUUAUAAUAAAAACUAUUUUAUUAUGUUGAAUAGUGUUUACUUUUUUGUUUAAAAACUAAUUUUAAGUUAGCACUUAGUGAUUUAGCCCAAAAAUAGUACUUAGAGUUAUGAUAUAACAUAAUUCUAUUUGUAAUAGUUUUCGAAUGGUGUCGUCAUUUUGUAUUUAGUCAUUUGAUGAUGUUGCGAUUUGUUUAAAAUGAGGAAGUUGUUAUUAGAACAGUUGCAACACUUUUGAGAGUCACAUAUUUAAUUACCAUUAGGAAAACGCUCUUGGCUAACCAACUCGAGAUUCGAUUCCACAAAUGAAAAUAGUAUGCAAAGAUGAAAUCGAAUGAAAAGAUAUUAAUGUCAUAAUUGAACAAUUGUCAUAUUAUCUAUAUGCAAUAUUAUCCUUUCACGUGUAUUGUUAAAUUUUGGGAUGGGCUUUGGAUGCUUGGGCUGUUAUCCACUCUCUGGACUUGUCCUCUUCGACUUUAUAAUCAAUCAAACGAAUGUUGACCCAAAAAAAAAGAAAUAAAAAGUUUAUAUGUGUUUAAUUGCAUAUACACGUGGAGUGCUUCUUUAGUUAGGUGAGACUGAAUUCAAGAAGAAACAAAAGAGAAAGGACCAAACUGCAAAUAGGUGUAACUUAAGUUGUUUAUCAGAUCUAGGGUCUUCCACAUUUAUAUCUGCCGAUCUCAAACUCUUCACGGGAUGAGGCUCGUCGCCUGAUGAAGGAAAAAUCAUGGCUUGAGGUCCUCUGCAGUUGGAGGUGAGAGCGAUGAUUUUGGGAGCUGAGAUGGCCGUUGGUCGUGAGCUUAGAAGAUCGCAGCGGUGAAAAAGAUGAACGCCCUCACGCCACAGAGAAAGCUUAAACACGACAAAGGAGGGAGGUACUCACGGUUGGACCACCGGAGAUCAAUCGGAGCGGCAACAAAGAUGACAGGAGAAGUCGCAGGAGAAGUCGCGGUGCCAUGGCGAGGAGUCGAGGUUGCCGAGACAAAUAAGCUUCAUAUUAAAUGAUAAAUCAUGGUGAAUGGAGUUAUGAAGGGCUUUAAGGCGAUGUAUCUGUCAAUGAAGAAGAAGAUCAAACGACGUGAGAAAAAUUUCUACCAACAGAUUCAUCCGCCGACUUUGUCGACUCAAUCCCUAGAAUUAGAAUCACCGUGCUAUCGGGAUGGGUUUUAGCCUAAAGCCCACAUAAAAACUGUAACCCAUAUCUCUUCAAUUUUUUUGUAAAUGAAACGCAGCGCAUAAGCAAAAGUGGACAGGUGUUACGCUC
This is a long non-coding RNA of Brassica napus (rape), 1296 nucleotides long. RefSeq lists it as uncharacterized. The record is from RefSeq and is a predicted model, not a curated record. The transcript is spliced from 2 exons. Lineage: Eukaryota; Viridiplantae; Streptophyta; Magnoliopsida; Brassicales; Brassicaceae.